Molecule: ribosomal RNA, 253 nt
Filed under: uncultured bacterium
Lineage: Bacteria
Description: partial 16S ribosomal RNA
Rfam family: Bacterial small subunit ribosomal RNA
Source: RNAcentral
UACGGAGGAUGCAAGCGUUAUCCGGAAUGAUUGGGCGUAAAGCGUCCGCAGGUGGCUGUGUAAGUCUGCUGUUAAGGAGUGAGGCUCAACCUCAUAAAGGCAGUGGAAACUACAUGGCUAGAGUGCGUUCGGGGCAGAGGGAAUUCCUGGUGUAGCGGUGAAAUGCGUAGAGAUCAGGAAGAACACCGGUGGCGAAAGCGCUCUGCUAGGCCGCAACUGACACUGAGGGACGAAAGCUAGGGGAGCGAACAGG